This 367-nucleotide ribosomal RNA is filed under the name uncultured organism. RNAcentral's name for it is "bacterial LSU rRNA". It matches the Rfam family "Bacterial large subunit ribosomal RNA", at positions 2099 to 2465 of the family's 2925-position model. The record is from RNAcentral.
CUUUACUGUAGUUUGAGAUUGACUCACUUUUCUUUUUGCGCAGCAUAGGUGGGAGACGAAGAAGAUAAAUUUUCGGAGUUAUUGGAGUCAUCAGUGAGAUACCACCCAAAAAGCAACGCGAGUCUUAUUUUAUAUCGUUAUCCGAUUAAAAAACAGUUUCUGAUGGUCAGUUUAACUGGGGCGGUUGCCUCCUAAAAAGUAACGGAGGCGCACAAAGGUUUCCUCAAAUCGAUCAGAAAUCGAUUUUAGAGCGCAAAGGCAUAAGGAAGCUUAACUGUUAGACUAACAAGUCGAGCAGAAACGAAAGUUGGUCUUAGUGAUCUGACGUGGCUCGGUGGAAAGCGCGUCACUUAACGGAUAAAAGUUA